This is a small nucleolar RNA of Brassica oleracea var. oleracea, 76 nucleotides long. It matches the Rfam family "Small nucleolar RNA J33". Rfam says of the family: J33 is a member of the C/D class of snoRNA which contain the C (UGAUGA) and D (CUGA) box motifs. Lineage: Eukaryota; Viridiplantae; Streptophyta; Magnoliopsida; Brassicales; Brassicaceae. The record is from Rfam.
UCGAGGAAUGAUGUACUAUUACAGGGCUCUUAAGAUGCUUGCUUUUCUCGACUCUGCGUCUGAAAUGGACAUUCGG